GGCCUGAUGGUCUAGUAGUAUGAUACUCCCUUCGGGCGUUUGCCCGGUCUUACUGAGGCCUUGAAAAUGGAUGGGAGUGGUCCCGGGUUCAAUUCCCGGUCAGGCCC
Mycena floridula is the source of this 107-nucleotide non-coding RNA. The record is from the annotation of a GenBank genome assembly. Lineage: Eukaryota; Fungi; Basidiomycota; Agaricomycetes; Agaricales; Mycenaceae.